CGUCUCCCAUAGGCCCAGCCCCUUUUCCCAUGACGUAGGUAAGCCUUGGGAGUCGGUGAUUCGGGAUCCGACUAAAUGGCUUCUUCCCUGUUCCACUUACCAGGCUCUCGGUUUGUAGGGGCACCCGCCGGAUCCUCGUGCCUUGGUGCAUCUUGGGAUUCGUAGUCUUUGAGGCCCCCUGGGCAAGCCACUGAGCCCCGAGCGCAGGCACACACGCGCACUUUUUUCACUCAUUGAACGAGUUCUCGUUGCCAUAGCAACUUGGGGGCUUGGCAACUGCUGCCCAGGUUCCCUUCCUAGAACAGCAACAACAUCCAGCUCUCCGAACUGGUGCAGACUUUAGGGAGUCUGUUCCAACCCUCUCUGCAGUACCAGUUGUGGCAAGUACCCAUCCAUCCGCCGCUUGAAAACCUGGCAAGAGCUGCUUCUUUCAGAGGGAAGCCACCCAGGCCACUUUUGCAUCACUCUUAGGAAGUUUUUCUUUAUAGCAAGCUUUAAUUUGCCUCAAUGAUGCUUCCACCUAUUUAUCCCCUUUGGAGCUAAACAGAACAAGUUUCAUCCUCCUUCCAAGUAACAACCCUUCAAAUAGCCAGGAAAAAGCUGAAAGAAGAGAAACACACAGUAAUCAUAACUUUGAAUGUGAAUGGGAUGAUCUUACCCAGAAAAUAGAAGAGGAUAGUAGAGUGGAUUAAAACCAGAAUCACACAAUAUGCUGUCUACAGGAAACUCAUUUAAAGCAGGGAAGGUAAAGAGUUAGAACAGAAUAUACUAUGCUUUGCUAAAGUUUAAAAAAAAAAAAAGCAGGGGUGGCAAUUAUCUGAGACUGGUUAUAAUAAAAUACUGUUGCACCAUGAGAAAUGACAACCAAGACGAUUAUUAAAAAAACCUAGCAAGACUUAGAGUGAUACAAAGUGAAGUGAGCAGAACCAGGAGAGUUGUAUCACAGUAACAGUAAUAAAGUACAGUGAUCAGCUGUAAAUUAUCCAAUUAUUAUCAGCCAUUUAAGGAUCCAGGGCAACACCAAGAGACUCAUGACCAAAAAAACUAUCCACUGCUAUAGAAGUAACUGAUAGAAUCUAAAUGGAGAUUGAAACAUGCCAUUCUUCACUUUAUUUUCUCCACGAAUUUUUCUCUAAUUUUGAUACAUCUUCUUUCACAACAUGAUGAACAUGGAAAUAUAUAUUAUAUAACAUAUCAUAUUACCUACCAUCUUGGGGAAAGGGGAGAGGUGGGAGGGAGAGAACAUGGAUCAAAAACUUUCAAAAAACAAUUAUUGAAAAUUGUACCAAGAUUUAAUCUGGAAAAAAAUUAACUUUAAAAAAAUAGGUACAAGCUGCUUUCUAGGAAUAUGAGAGAUUAGUGCUGCCAAAAAGAGUCUGAGCUGAAACAGAGACAGUUUGCAGAGCACUUAAAUCACAAGUUUCUAGGAGCUAGUAAAAUGGAGAGAAGAUUAGUUUCUCUGCCUUAAGUGGUAGAGGCUUCACACUUCUGAAAAGUCCCAGGUUUCAUAAUUCCUUCUCCUAAUCCUUUUAUCACACAGGAAAAGGAAAAUGUAGUUAGGAGGAAUUUUCCACUUUGGGAAAUGAUCAGGAGGAUAUAACUAACAUGAAAUUAUAAUACAGAGACAUUUGGAUUACAGAGAGUUUCCUAGUCACAGGAUCAAGGCAGAGCCCCAGAUAAUCAGAAUUCUCUUACGCUGAAUUGUAAACCUGACUAGUGAAUAUACCUAACCUUUCUCAGCCUUCUCAGAAAGGGGUCUCUCAAAUAACCAUUGAGUAGACUCUGACUGAAACCCAUCUGGGAUGGUGGACAGAAUACAGCAGCAUUUCAUUAUGCAUUUCUUUACGAAUUAUACACUCCCUUACUUGCUAAUUAAUUAAUUGCACAAUUGUCUGCUUCUCUGUGAGUUUCAGCCUGCAGGGCAAAGAGGCAGGAUGGAUGGGCAUAGGUUUGGUAAUACCACAAAAUGUGUAACUAGCAUACACCAUGUGUCAUGUUACCCUUAUAGAAAAGAAGAAUGGAUGUUGAUUAGCAGUGAUAGAGUGAGGUGAAUAGUUGGUUGAAUAGUUAGACUGAAAAAGUAGUGAUAAUGGUUCCUGAUCAGCUCAGAAUGUCUCUCAACAUUCUGCCUUACCAAUGUUUGGCCCUGUACUGUUGAAUUUUUUUUUUAAACCCUUACCUUCUGCCUUAGAAUCAAUACUAGGCAAAAGGGUUAGGCAAUGGGAGUUAAGUGACUUGCCCAGGGUCACACAGCUAGGAAGUGUCUGAGGCCAAAUUUGAACCUCAGACCUCCCAUCUCUAGGCCUGGCUCUUUAAUCCACUGAGCUGCCCAGCUGCCCCCCUGUAGAAUAUUUUUUAUCAGUUACUUAGGAAAAAAAAACAUUAGGGGGCAUGUUUAUCACAUUUACAAAUGACACAAAGCUAGAAGGAACAGUACUUUUUGGACAGCAUAACUGCUGUCCAAACUGAUUCAAGAUCUUAAUAUCCAAACUUGAUUUUUAAAAGUUUAUUAGAGCUUUUUGUUUUUAUAUCACAGUCAUUUCUUGAUAUAUACCAUACCCUCCACCCCAAAAGAGCUCUUCCUUAAAAAAACAUUUGAACAGAGAACAGCUGGGUGGAUCAGUGGAUCGAGAACCAGGCCCAAAGAUGGGAAGUCCUGGGUUCAAAUCUGAACUCAGACACUUCCUAGCUGUGUGACCCUGAGCAAGUCACUUAACCCUCAUUGCCUAGCCCUUACCACUCUUCUGCCUUGGAACCAAUACACAGUAUUGAUUCCAAGACAGAAGGUGAGGGUUUAAAAAAAAUAACAUUUGAACAAAUUCAACCAGUAUAACGACUGGCGAUGUAGUAACAUUCCACACUGUACCGCUACUGAUUUAUCUCUUGAUCCUGCAGUCUAAAGGCAUGAACAAUUUAGUUCGAAAAAUUUGAAAAAGUUUUUCUGAAAUGGUAGAACCAGUUCACAGAUUCACCACCAGUGAGACUGAAGCACACUAGAAGUCAUACAACCAAAUUUACUGAGUACACUACAAAUUUAUGUUAUCUGAUUUCAAGACAAUCCUUUUAAUGCUCUCUAAUUUUCCAUCUUGCUCCCCACAGAGAUUGCUCUAAACUUUUUCUCCCGUAAGCUUCCCAUAGCAUCCAUCCCCACAUCUUCACAUCAUAUGAGGACUUCACUUCAUACUUUAAUAAGAAAAUAGAAGCCUCCUUAAGAUCUCUCUUCUCCCAUAUUUUACAUCUCAACACACUGACUCCAUCCUCCAAUCUAUUCUUUCCUCUCCUCUCUGAUGCAGUGGCUCUUCUUGACAAAAUCAGUCUUAAUACUUGUACACUUGGGGGCAGCUGGGUGGCCCAGUGGAUAGAGAGCCAGGCCUAGAGAUGGGAGGUCCUGGGUUCAAAUCUGGACUCAGAUACUUCCCAGCUGUGUGACCCUGGGCAAGUCACUUAAUCCCCAUUGCCUAGCCCUUACCACUCUUCUGCCUUAGAGCCAAUACACAGUAUUGAUUCUAAGUCAGAAGGUAAGGGUUAAAAAUAAUAAUACUUGUACACUUGAUCCCAUCCCUUCUGACAUCUGCCUACAGAUUACCUCCCUGAUUGUUCCCCUCUGUUUUUAAGUUUCCUACAAAUUAAGAACAAUAUAUGGGAGCUGAGGGCUAGAGAUAGGGAGGAGAAAGGUGUAGAGAGGUAGAUUUAGGCUGUAUGUAAGGAAAACCUUCCAAAUAAUGUGGUUUAAUUGUUUUUUUCAGUCAUGUCCAACUCUUCAUAACCCUAUUUGGGAUUUUUUUGGCAAAGAUACUGGGGUAGUUUACCAUUUUCUUCUCGAGUGCAUUUUAAAGAUGAGGAAUCUCAGGCAAACAGUGUUAAGUGACUUGCCCAAGGUCAUCAGCUGCUCAGUGUCUGAGGUCAGAUUUGAACUCAGGAAGAUAAGCUUUCUUUUCCUGA
Non-coding RNA from Monodelphis domestica (gray short-tailed opossum), 3942 nucleotides. The record is from RefSeq and is a predicted model, not a curated record. NCBI's taxonomy places the organism in Eukaryota, Metazoa, Chordata, Mammalia, Didelphimorphia, Didelphidae.